RNAcentral lists this ribosomal RNA (1695 nucleotides) under Triticum aestivum (bread wheat). Its description in RNAcentral is "partial small subunit ribosomal RNA". Lineage: Eukaryota; Viridiplantae; Streptophyta; Magnoliopsida; Poales; Poaceae. The record is from RNAcentral.
AUGACAAAAAACAAGCACCGUCUGAUGAGAGGCGAUGAAGAGCAACAACGCCCUUAUAAAAGAGCAACUAGGCCAAGCACAUCCGGCAGCUCGAGUGAAUCCAGUGCAGGCUCCUCGAUUGAACUCACUGAUGCAAGCUCCUUAGCGAUAUCGGGCAGCUCGAGUGAAUCCUUUCCAGGGGCCCUGAGUGAACUCAGUGAGCAAGUUGUUUCAAGAUUGCGGAGGAGUGUUGUGUCGCUUGCUUCAUUUGAUGGUGAUACCAAAAUACGCGAAUGCACCGGCACAUGCAUCAAAAGCUCAUGUCCUGAUGCCACGUGUUUCCUGACAUCCAUAAAUUUGAUUCCGUAUACUUGCCCUAGAAGGAAGAUCACUGAAAGUUUGACGAUUAAAGUACGCCUUCCCGAUGAUCAGAUUGUCACUGGGUGGAUAGAGAACCCUGAGUUAUAUGUUCAUUUUUUCAUCGUCAAAAUCAAGAACGUUGACGUUAUUGAUCCCACCCAUCUAUAUCAUCUAAGUCUUGAUCGUGCCACGCAGUUUGAGCCUUAUAGGAAGGUAGCAGCUCUAUGGCGCUAUUAUGAUUCAGGAGAAUUAAAGACCAGAAGCGGAGUAGAUCUUGCCUCUGUAUUUGCUCGUACCGAUGAAAGGAUGUUAAGCACAUGCCGAAUCCAUGAGGUGGGGAUUGGAGGUCCCCUUGUUGAUUUUGAUGGCAACUUUGUUGGGAUGAACUACUCUGGUACCAAAGAACGAAAGACCCCCUAUGUACGAAGGCCUUCAAUUCGUGAAUUCAUGUGGUUUCGCGGGAUGGUCAGUGUUAAGGAAGAGGUUGACGAAGCUGCAAGUGCAAGAAUUAAAAUUCGUUUUGGAGACCCAGGUCUCCUCAUGGCAGCAGGCAGGCAAUACAUAAAUCUUCUCGAUGAUAUGUUCAAGAAGGAUAUCUUGAGGAAACCAUUGGGAGGUUUUGGUUUAGAAAUGGAUCGAAGUGCCUACUCACUUGCUUCAGAAUCAAGCAAACAUCUUGCUUCAGAAAUGGAUCGUAGUGUUGUCUCACUUGCCUCAUUCAAUGGAUUUGCAAAGAAGUUUUCUUGCACAGGUGUAUUUAUAAAGAGCAAAAAAUGCUCUGCAACAAUUCUUACUUCAGCAAGUUUGGUUAGAGUUCCUGGCAGUGCACACAUGAUUGAUGAUAAUUUAUGGAUUGAAGUUUGCCUAACAGGCGGAUUUCGAGUCGUAGGGAUAUUGAACUGUUAUAAUUUACACUACAAUGUCGCCCUUGUUGACAUCAUGGGAUUCUGGCAUCCAAGGACAAUAAAAAUCCGUGGGCAUCCAGUUACCUCAUCUAUGGACGUAAUAGCUGUGGGUAGUCUUUUUGCGUGUCGCAAACUAAUGGCUGUCGAGGGGAAGGUGUUGAUUGGCAAACAAAGCAAACUUGAUUGCAAAGAACUUUGUGUCUCCACCUGUGUAAUCACCAAGGCUGGGAUUGGGGGGCCUCUUAUUGACAAUGAUGGGAAUUUUGUUGGAAUGAACUUCUAUGACGAGGAAGAAACUCCGUUCCUGCCGAGGGAUGUUAUACACCGCCUCUUAUUGAACUUAAGUAAAACACGGUAUGUCUUUAAAAAAAAAAAGCUUGUAGGUUUUAGGGUUGUUGUCCUGUAUGUAUAUUCAUCUCUAGUUUUACAUCAUUCAAUCAUUUUCACUUAA